This is a long non-coding RNA of Piliocolobus tephrosceles (Ugandan red Colobus), 504 nucleotides long. RefSeq lists it as uncharacterized. The record is from RefSeq and is a predicted model, not a curated record. NCBI's taxonomy places the organism in Eukaryota, Metazoa, Chordata, Mammalia, Primates, Cercopithecidae. The transcript has 3 exons.
CUUGGGCGUGAGGACACGCACUUUCUCUCCUCCCUUCCCCCGCCCCUUGCCCUUCUGCCUUCCAGGAUGGGAUGACCAUGACACAGCAAAAAGGCCAGGUGUCAGACCCUCAAUCUUGGACUCCUUAGCCUCCAGAACUGUGAGAAAUACAUUUCUGUUCAUUAUCAGGAAUUCUGCUACAGCAGCACAAAACAGACUAAGACACCAAGCUACCUAAAUCAGUUGUCUUCAAACGAGGGUCUGGAAGUUUCCAGUUUUCCUGCUUUCUACAAAAUUAGAGGAGAUGAAUGGCAAGCUAGUUGAUUCAUAAAAAUCCACUGUAUUUUGACAUAUAAUUUCAAAGGGGUAACUUUUUCAAAUAUGAUGAUCAUUAAACAAAAAUUCAGAAGACUAAACUUAGAACAAAACCUUCAGUCUUGAAUGAUCACCAAAACUACCACCACCAAGGUCAUCCAAGAAUCACCAAGUAUUCAACAAGAUUUUUAAAAAUAAAACAUCUUUCAA